CUUGCGCGCAGCCAUGGGUAAAUGGUGCGGUACGCCGCCCAUGACUGGAAACCCACAGGCACAGACAAAUCGAGUGUUGCGGGAUUACGGGUACGGCCGAUGGCGCAAGCCUUCGUCGGACCCCUCCAUCCCAGGGUGUCCCGUUCGGGUGCUUGCACCCAGCGGACAUCCCCGGAGUGCGUAGGAUGUGACCCGAAAGAUGGUGAACUAUGCCUGAUCAGGUUGAAGUCAGGGGAAACCCUGAUGGAGGACCGAAGCAAUUCUGACGUGCAAAUCGAUUGUCAGAGUUGGGCAUAGGGGCGAAAGACCAAUCGAACCAUCUAGUAGUGGGUUCCUU
RNAcentral lists this ribosomal RNA (337 nucleotides) under Anopheles minimus C. Its description in RNAcentral is "eukaryotic LSU rRNA". It matches the Rfam family "Eukaryotic large subunit ribosomal RNA", at positions 679 to 960 of the family's 3401-position model. Lineage: Eukaryota; Metazoa; Arthropoda; Insecta; Diptera; Culicidae. The record is from RNAcentral.